GUCAUCAGUAAGUAAGCACACAGUUAAGACAACCAGUACCACGACAGCGAAGUCAUCAACUUCAGCGAAGUCAUCAACUUCAGCGAAGUCAUCAACUUCAGCGGAUCCAACUGCAGCUUCAGCAAGCCCUGGACAUACGAUACCAUCAACUGGACCUCCUCCACAAAACAAUACAACUGCUAAUACUACACAAACUAACACCACAACUGUU
Molecule: unclassified non-coding RNA, 211 nt
Filed under: Melitaea cinxia (Glanville fritillary)
Lineage: Eukaryota; Metazoa; Arthropoda; Insecta; Lepidoptera; Nymphalidae
Description: misc RNA ENSMCXG00005001674.1
Source: RNAcentral